AACGAACGCUGGCGGCAGGCCUAAUACAUGCAAGUCGAGCGCUCUAGCAAUAGAGAGCGGCGCACGGGUGCGUAACGCGUGGGAAUGUACCUCUAGGUGCGGAACAACGUCGGGAAACUGACGCUAAUACCGCAUAAUAUCUCCGGAUCAAAGAUUUAUCGCCUAGGGAUCAGCCCGCGUUGGAUUAGCUAGUUGGUGAGGUAAUGGCUCACCAAGGCGACGAUCCAUAGCUGGUCUGAGAGGAUGAUCAGCCACACUGGGACUGAGACACGGCCCAGACUCCUACGGGAGGCAGCAGUAAGGAAUAUUGGACAAUGGAGGAAACUCUGAUCCAGCCAUGCCGCGUGAGUGAAGAAGGCCUCGGUUGUAAGACUCUUUAGUAUGUGUACGAUGAUGACGGUAGCGAUACAGAAAAAGACUACCGGCCUGACUUCGUGCCAGCAG
Molecule: ribosomal RNA, 444 nt
Filed under: uncultured bacterium
Lineage: Bacteria
Description: bacterial SSU rRNA
Rfam family: Bacterial small subunit ribosomal RNA
Source: RNAcentral